This 511-nucleotide ribosomal RNA is filed under the name Rhithrogena sartorii. Its description in RNAcentral is "partial 16S ribosomal RNA". It matches the Rfam family "Bacterial large subunit ribosomal RNA", at positions 1831 to 2601 of the family's 2925-position model. Lineage: Eukaryota; Metazoa; Arthropoda; Insecta; Ephemeroptera; Heptageniidae. The record is from RNAcentral.
CGCCUUUUGUAAGAAUAGAAGGUCUAGCCUGCCCACUGAAGAAGUUAAAGGGCCGCGGUAUAUUGACCGUGCAAAGGUAGCAUAAUCAUUAGUCUUCUAAUUAAAGGCUGGAAUGAAUGGCUGGACGAGGUAUUAGCUGUCUCCUUGAAAUAACCCAGAAAUUAACUUUUUAGUCAAAAGGCUGAAAUAUAAUUGGAGGACGAGAAGACCCUAUAGAGCUUUAUAUCAUAAGUGUCUAGUUUGUUUCGACGGAGUUCAGCUUAACAUGGAAGAUAUUUUGUUGGGGUGACAGGAAGAUAUAAGAAACUCUUCUUUUAAUAAGCCAUAAAUACAUGAAUUAAAUGAUCCAAGAAGAGUGAUUAAAAGACUAAGUUACCUUAGGGAUAACAGCGUAAUCUUUUUUGAGAGUUCAAAUCGACAAAAAGGGUUGCGACCUCGAUGUUGGACUAAGGGUUAUUCUUGGGUGUAGAAGUUCAAGGUUUGGGUCUGUUCGACCCUUGAAUCCUUACAU